Molecule: long non-coding RNA, 225 nt
Filed under: Capsicum annuum
Lineage: Eukaryota; Viridiplantae; Streptophyta; Magnoliopsida; Solanales; Solanaceae
Description: long non-coding RNA (CANN_LNC020006)
Source: RNAcentral
CUCCACAUCUUUUUUGGGGCCGCUGUCAUCACCACCAUCACCUCCUCUUCCUUCACCAUCACCAUCAACACCAUUGCCACUUUUUUCUGAUCCACCACAAUUGCCACCUCUUCCAGAUCCACCACCAUUUUCUUAUCAACGACAACCGUCAUCUAUUUUUCUUUUUCUCCAUCAUCAUCACUAUCAACACCACAACAAUCAUCACCUUUUCCUUCGGCGUCACCA